RNAcentral lists this transfer RNA (92 nucleotides) under Felis catus (domestic cat). It matches the Rfam family "tRNA". From Rfam's summary of the family: Transfer RNA (tRNA) molecules are approximately 80 nucleotides in length. Their secondary structure includes four short double-helical elements and three loops (D, anti-codon, and T loops). Lineage: Eukaryota; Metazoa; Chordata; Mammalia; Carnivora; Felidae. The record is from Rfam by way of RNAcentral. RNAcentral also lists the same sequence under 1 other name.
GCCUGCGUGGCUCAGUCAGUUGAGCAUCAGACUUCGGCUCAGGUCAUGAUCUCGUGGUCCACAGUCCGUGGGUUCGAGCCCCACGUCAGGCU